Molecule: transfer RNA, 74 nt
Organism: Vogesella sp. LIG4
Lineage: Bacteria; Pseudomonadati; Pseudomonadota; Betaproteobacteria; Neisseriales; Chromobacteriaceae
Rfam family: tRNA
About the family: Transfer RNA (tRNA) molecules are approximately 80 nucleotides in length.
Source: Rfam
GGGUUUGUAGCUCAGCCGGUUAGAGCACCGUCUUGAUAAGGCGGGGGUCGUUGGUUCGAGUCCAACCAGACCCA